Non-coding RNA from Ictidomys tridecemlineatus (thirteen-lined ground squirrel), 2471 nucleotides. NCBI's taxonomy places the organism in Eukaryota, Metazoa, Chordata, Mammalia, Rodentia, Sciuridae. The record is from RefSeq and is a predicted model, not a curated record.
ACAAAGCAGAGAUUAUGGCCCCGGAAGGAAAUAGAUUAAAUUUUAAUACUAAGGAGUCAACAUCAAAUUUAUUUUUAAAACUGCAUCAAUGCCAAAUAAGCAAGGGAGAAUGGAUGGUGUCAUAAAGACGGCCUAACUAAAAACCUGAACAUCCAACACAGGGCAGACGCCAGUUGCAGCACCAGACAUUGCUAAGUUUGCUAAAAUUGUGCAAAAUAAUUACUUCAUCCAGAGAAAGUGAUCGCCAAGUGAAAAUUGAAAACAGCUGUACACUCACCUGAGGCCAAGACGGCACACUAGCUAAAAGAUUUGUGGCUCCCCCGACUGGACGUGCUCACCAUCCAGCAAGGUUGGCUUCUCUGGGAAGACCUAUCCCCGCUCCUUUGAAUUUCCACUUGCACCUGGCCAGCCUGGGGCCCAGACAAGGAAGAGGGUCGGGUCUGCAGUGUGAGUGGGCUUCUGGCUCAGACAUCAAGAGGCUCAGCUUUCAGCAGCCUUCUCCUGGAUCCAGAGCAGGGGAGGAAUGAAGACCCAAGACUCCCACCUAAAAGGGAAGUAUCAAGGCUGAAGUGACCUUCAAGGACGUGCAGGCCAUGGACAAAUGGAUGGGGCUGGUCUCCCGGGAGAGAAUGGACCCGUCUGGGAGGAUCAAUGGAAGGACACUGUAGCAGAGCAGGGGAACUUGGAGGCCAGGAGGGGCUUUGUAACAGCCUGAGCAGUGGUGUGGGGCUCCUGACUUGGGAAAAUGGUGGACCCAACUCUAACCCUCAUGACUCGCCCACAUGCCUGUCGGCCGCCUUGAGCAUCCCAAGGGUCCUGGGUUUCCACACAGGCCGUGUUCCCUGGCUUGAUGCUUCCAAACUCUCUUCCACUCCCCUGAACCCCUGCACCUGCUUGCUGGGGCCCUCUGGAGCCUCCCACUUCCACCAGGCGGUCCCCACUUACCUUGCCAGUGAAGCUCUCCCUCUCCCCAGGAACCAUCCAGCCCGGAGGCCUGGCCACAGGCUUGGGUUCUCGUCUCACGAAUCUGAUGAACGAAAUUCGCAGGACAACGGAAGGCAAGAGAGAAAGAAGAGCGACUUAUUCAUGUGAGGAAUAGAAGCAGAGCUCUCACAGGGCAAGGGGGACUCACAGAGGUUGCUGCCUGCAGGUGCUAGGCGAGGGGAGUCUGUUCAUCACUGUGGAAGCUCUUGGCCUUGCCUGCCCCGCAGUGCACACCCAGCAGGUUUCGGAGUCUGCUGGGGACCAGAGCCUCACAGCCAUUACAAAAGACUCACCACAAAUACGCCCCCAGCCACCCACCUGCAGCUAUGUUUUUAAAUUUAAUGUGGAAUGACUGUCCUUAAUGUGGGAUGGUGAAACAUCACCGACUCUGCGCAGGAAGCAGUGCUGUGACCAGGACUUAACCCCUGACGCUGAGAAAGCAUCUGCUGAGCUUGGGGAGGGGUCUUGGAGUUACGCUCUGGAUGGAAUACCCUGAGAUUGUCAAGAAGAUGACAAAGUCUGAAAGAGGAACGUGGCCUCAUUUUCUAGUCCAAGCAGGUGGCGGAGGGAUCUGCUUAUAGAUGUGUCUGUGCCUUUCUUGGACACAGCCGGCUUUGUUUCCCAGGCUCUUUGACAGUGUGUGUGUCUGUGUGUGUGUGUCUGUGUGUGUGUGUGUCUGUGUGUUUGUGUGCGCACACACAUGCAGGAGAAGGUGCAGGGGCCCAGGUGAAUGGAAUAUGCCCAGGCCCUGAAGCGAUUCCAGGAGAGCAGGCCACUGCCUGAAGGAGGCUGGGCUGCUUUAGAGCAGCGAAGGGGAACCAGGCGGUCACUUCAGGUGACCUCUGUCCAAGUUGCUUCCUGUUUGGACAGGUUUUGGGGAGCUAGACCCAGGUGAGCUGCUGGAACCGCUGCUGAUUCAUGCUAACAUGACCACCAGUGAGGCUGACUUCCCUGCACACGGAGGCCUGGGUGGGAUCUGGGCAGGGUGUCUGACAGAAGCCUGGAGUGGCUGCUCCUUGUGCAUCUUGCAAGCAGAUUGCUCACUUCCUCACUGAAGUUCUGACUCACAUUGGGACUAAAUGCUGCAAUCACGUUCUGGCCACCCUGGAAAUUCCUCAGUCCUGCUUCUUAAGAGGCAGAGCUGAUAGAGUGUUGUGCUUCUGUUCAAGGCAGAAACAGGUGUCAGUACUGGGAGUGGACUCCCCGGGGCGGGUGUCUGUGGGACUCUCGGUUCUUCCACACCUCUCCUGUCGCGAGAGGAAUCCCCUGGACACAUGGCCUGGGCCCUGGAGUUUACCCAGUGCUUGGUGAAGGCUCCCCAGUGCCAUCGCAGGGGGUACAGGUGGAAGGCCAGCAUGCCUGGACGUUGCAGUGCUCUCCGCCCAGGCUCCAGGCUUUGUCAAGGCAGCAGUAUCUCUGAGCCUCAUUUCCCAUCUCUGUCCAAUCGGGAGAAGCAAGGUCUGUCCUUUGUCUGGUGAGGCUGCUGG